AUGGGUUGUAGCCUGCAAGAUUUAGCUAGCAGCUAUUUCCAUCUGCAGUCUUCAGGCAGGGGAAUAACCAAGGCUGGUCCUACAGGGCUGGUCCUACAGGACUGGUCCUACAGGACUGUUCCUACAGGACUGUUCCCACACGGCUGGUCCCACAGGACUGUUCCCACAGGGCUGGUCCCACAGGACUGGUCCUACAGGACUGUUCCUUCAGGACUGUUCCCACACGGCUGGUCCCACAGGACUGUUCCCACAGGGCUGGUCCCACAGGACUGUUCCCACAGGACUGUUCCCACAGGGCUGGUCCCACAGGGCUGUUCCCACAGGGCUGUUCCCACAGGGCUGGUCCCACAGGGCUGGUCCCACAGGGCUGGUCCCACAGGGCUGUUCCCACAGGGCUGGUCCCACAGGACUGUUCCCACAGGGCUGGUCCCACAGGGCUGGUCCCACAGGGCUGGUCCUACAGGGCUGGUCCUACAGGGCUGGUCCUACAGGGCUGGUUCUACAGGGCUGGUCCUACAGGGCUGGUUCUACAGGGCUGGUCCUACAGGGCUGGUCCUACAGGGCUGGUCCUACAGGGCUGGUUCUACAGGGCUGGUCCUACAGGGCUGGUUCUACAGGGCUGGUCCUACAGGGCUGGUCCUACAGGGCUGGUUCUACAGGGCUGGUCCUACAGGGCUGUUCCUACAGGGCUGGUCCUACAGGGCUGGUUCUACAGGGCUGGUCCUACAGGGCUGGUCCUACAGGGCUGGUUCUACAGGGCUGGUUCUACAGGGCUGGUCCUACAGGGCUGGUUCUACAGGGCUGGUCCUACAGGGCUGGUCCUACAGGGCUGGUUCUACAGGGCUGGUCCUACAGGGCUGGUCCUACAGGGCUGGUUCUACAGGGCUGGUCCUACAGGGCUGGUCCUACAGGGCUGGUCCUACAGGGCUGGUUCUACAGGGCUGGUCCUACAGGGCUGGUUCUACAGGGCUGGUCCUACAGGGCUGGUCCUACAGAGCUGGACCUACAUUCAAAUCAAAUUGUAUUUGUCACAUGCACAGAAACAGGUGUAGCUAG
RNAcentral lists this long non-coding RNA (1056 nucleotides) under Oncorhynchus mykiss (rainbow trout). RNAcentral's name for it is "lncRNA (ENSOMYG00000075347.1)". Lineage: Eukaryota; Metazoa; Chordata; Actinopteri; Salmoniformes; Salmonidae. The record is from RNAcentral.